AGAGUUUGAUCAUGGCUCAGGAUGAACGCUAGCGGCAGGCUUAACACAUGCAAGUCGAGGGGCAGCGCGGGAUAGCAAUAUCCUGGCGGCGACCGGCGGAAGGGUGCGUAACGCGUGAGCGACAUGCCCGUUGCCCGGGGACAACCGGUGGAAACGCCGACUAAUCCCCGAUGGGAUAUUGUGCCGCAUGGCACGAUAUUGAAAGUUACGGCGGCGACGGAUUGGCUCGCGUCCGAUUAGCUUGUUGGCGGGGUGACGGCCCACCAAGGCUGCGAUCGGUAGGGGUUCUGAGAGGAAGGCCCCCCACAAUGGGACUGAGACACGGCCCAUACUCCUACGGGAGGCAGCAGUGAGGAAUAUUGGUCAAUGGGCGGAAGCCUGAACCAGCCAUGCCGCGUGCGGGAAGGAGGCCCUAUGGGCUGUGAACCGCUUUUGCCUGGGGGCAAUAAGGGCGUCGCGCACGUCCGAUGAGAGUACCAGGCGAAUAAGCAUCGGCUAACUCCGUGCCAGCAGCCGCGGUAAUACGGGGGAUGCGAGCGUUAUCCGGAUUCAUUGGGUUUAAAGGGUGCGUAGGCUGUGCGUCAAGUCGGGGGUGAAAUUCCGGUGCUCAACACCGGGGCUGCCCUUGAUACUGUCGCGCUGGAGUGCGGAUGCCGCCGGAGGAAUGAGUGGUGUAGCGGUGAAAUGCUUAGAUAUCACUCAGAACACCGAUUGCGAAGGCAUCUGGCGAAUCCGUAACUGACGCUGAGGCACGAAAGCGUGGGGAUAGAACAGGAUUAGAUACCCUGGUAGU
Molecule: ribosomal RNA, 793 nt
Filed under: uncultured bacterium
Lineage: Bacteria
Description: bacterial SSU rRNA
Rfam family: Bacterial small subunit ribosomal RNA
Source: RNAcentral